UCGGGAAUAUUGCGCAAUGGAGGAAACUCUGACGCAGUGACGCCGCGUGCAGGAAGAAGGUUUUCGGAUUGUAAACUGCUUUAGACAGGGAAGAACAAAGACAGUACCUGUAGAAUAAGCUCCGGCUAACUACGUGCCAGCAGCCGCGGUAAUACGUAGGGAGCAAGCGUUAUCCGGAUUUAUUGGGUGUAAAGGGUGCGUAGACGGUAAUGCAAGUUAGUUGUGAAAUCCCUCGGCUUAACUGAGGAACUGCAACUAAAACUACAUUUCUUGAGUAUUGGAGGGGAAAGUGGAAUUCCUAGUGUAGCGGUGAAAUGCGUAGAUAUUAGGAGGAACACCGGUGGCGAAGGCGACUUUCUGGACAAUUACUGACGUUGAGGCACGAAAGUGUGGGGAGCAAACAGG
RNAcentral lists this ribosomal RNA (405 nucleotides) under uncultured bacterium. RNAcentral describes it as "bacterial SSU rRNA". It matches the Rfam family "Bacterial small subunit ribosomal RNA", at positions 355 to 776 of the family's 1533-position model. The record is from RNAcentral.